This is a long non-coding RNA of Meriones unguiculatus (Mongolian gerbil), 3443 nucleotides long. RefSeq lists it as uncharacterized. NCBI's taxonomy places the organism in Eukaryota, Metazoa, Chordata, Mammalia, Rodentia, Muridae. The record is from RefSeq and is a predicted model, not a curated record. The transcript is spliced from 4 exons.
GUGGGGCCGGCCUUCGCUGCCACGGGGAAAUGCGGGCCCCAGACGACCAAAGGCUCCGUUUUUUCUUUUCUUUUUUUGCCAGACAAGUGCAGACUGAAGAGCUUGGGUAGACGAACCUCCUCAAGUCACUCUCGGCGGGUGUCUUAUUGCAGCUGAACUAGUUAAGCGACAGGCCCUGUUCCGUACGGGUGUGCCCUCUGCGCUCCUCUUCCCCAGCUGCACGAUCCCCAGCCAGGGAGGAAACUUCUGGACCCCCCUUCCUCAGCCUCUCAUCAUCAUGGAACAACACUGACCGAGGAGUCCGAGCAUGACCCGUGCUCCAGAGACCAGAGCAGGCCUGUGAAUAAGAAUAUAGCUCUCAGCUAUUUCUCCAACAUCAUGUGUGCCACCAAGAUCCCUGGCAUGAUGAUAAUGGACUAAACCUCUGAAAUGGCCCCACACCUGUGUGUGUCCUCCACCCAUUCACCUGGACAUGGAACAAGCCCAGAAAGGCCAUCUGAGCAGCCACAGUGAGACCUCCGGUGUCCCUGACAGGAAGAGCCUCUCUCAUGAAGCCCAGCAGCACGAUAGCUUUCCCUGUGGGGCUGAGACUGACAGCUGGCAAAGGACAGAAAGGAGACAAGGCGACGUGAAGGACUUUCCCAGUCCCACCAUCAUGCAGAAAACCACUCAGACGCGGCCAGAAUGACCUGCCGGAGAGAGCGUUCCCCUUGAAGAAUGGCAGGUGCUGGCGGCAGACACUGUCUGUGUAGUCUGGAGUCAUAUCCCAGCCCCAAGGCCCCACAGCCUGAACCUCAGCCACCAGCAGCUCUGCCAGGCAACCUCUCGUCUCCAAGGCACAUGUGAAGCAGGGAUCUGGAAGCCUAGGCCUUUCCAAGGAGCAGCUGUUUGAAGAACGGAUCUGGCUAUAGGCAAACGUGAAAGUUGAUUUUCUUCUACAGAAAACCUGAUUGCUUUUGACGCCCAAAGACUUCUGGCAAGCUCUAAGGCUGGAAAACACAGUGGGCCCUGGGUUCUCUGGCUGGAAGGGCCCCACUGCCUACAUAUACAUAUCCGUUUGUGUGUGUGUGUGUGUGUGUGUGUGUGUGUGUGUGUGUGUGUUUUAGAGGCCCUGGAGGGAUCUCACUUGUGACCAGGAGUAAGGCUGGUUAGUUAGUUGCCUACGACAAUUGCAAAUUUAUUCCCCUUUUGCUGUGUUUACCUGACACUGCUACUCAUGACAAACACCAGUGAGCCUGUUGGGCACUUCUGGGGAGCCAACCUCCCAAAUACAAACCUCCCACUCAGAGUGAAGGAGAUCUCCUCCAACUUUGUCUCUGUGUCAAAGGCAGGCAUUGGGAGCAGGGCUGCUGAGGGCCUACUCUCUGCUUCAUGACUCAAAAGGCACAGCUCUCAUCUUAAAGGGAUAGUAUAUUCAGGAGCCAUGUUGAGCGACCAGUGACCUAGGGACACAGAUUGGGGUUACCCCAAAUUCCAUGUUCGAGUGUGGAAGCAGUUUCAUGAAGUUGUAUAGUUUUAUAGAACAAAGAAAGUCAUAAAGUAAGGCGAGUUUAGAAUACAUUGAUGGAUACACCAGGCAGUUACAGCGGUAAAGGAGAAGCUUUUCUAUGGGCUCAAGAUGUUGUCUGAUGACGUUUGUAGCUUUUGGAUUAGUGGAAGCCAGUGGUCUGCUAAGUCAAUAGGUUCCAAAAGCUUCCUAUCUAUUAGUCACAGAUAUUAAUUGACACAGAGGUGGCCAAGGAAUGCUGCUCCUAAGACUAGAACUAGCUCAAGAUGAAGUAGUUUGCCUCUGGGCCUGCAUCAUUCCAGUCUCUCCACGGUCUCUGUGGACACAGCAUCUUCCCAGGAGUUCUCACUCACAGAGGAAAUGAUGUUUGCAGUCAGAUGAUCUGUGUUAGCUCUCUGAUUGUUACAGUAACAAGAUAUCUAAGGCUAAGUACUUUAUGAAGAGAGAAGCGUAUUCAGCCACAGCUCUAGCCUCACGUUUUUUGUUUUUUUGUUUUUGUUUUUUCCUAUGGUAAAAGCAGAGGAAUCUUUCUAUGGAACUGAGUUUCCAUAACCUGGAAGCUCCUGUUUUCAGGAAAAAUCAGUCUGUUGAGGGAUCUACCACCUUUCUUCACAAUUCAGUUUGCUUAUGUGGUGCUUAACAUAAAUGACUCCAUUUUAGGUUAGUCUGUUCUGGUUGCACCCUACUGCAGGAGUUCAGAUCAAAAAGAAAAGCCCCCCCCCCUCAAAAAAAAGGGGAACCAGGAAGGAGGGGGGUUGUGGUGGGCAGUGACAGUAGGGCCCACACAAACACAGCACGAAGAAAGUCACUGAGCUAUGGGCUUGAGAUUUGUCUGUGAAGAUGGACACCCGCUGGUAGCAACAGGCCGGGAUGUCUUGGGACCAGAAGGGCAACUCUCUCUAAUUCAGAGAAGAAGCACCCAGUGCUCUGUUCACCAACUCCACACUCUCUUUUGUGCCUGCAGACAAAGGUAAGGUGCCUACCUCUCUGUGUGUCUGUGUAUAUGAUAAGGCCCUGGAGUCAUGUAUGCUGGCAAGCUACCCUAUCAGCUCUGCUGACAGCCUGUUUCCCCAAGAUUCCAACACAGAAAAAGAUGUCUCCCACCUCUCUGCAUAUGACUAGAGAAAAGAGAUUAGAGUCUUUAUUGUGCAUGUGUGCAGGCAUGUAUGCUUGUGUGUGUGUGUGAUUUGAGUCUGUAUUAUUUUAAAAUCUGACUGCCGCUGAGAUGGCUGUCCUAGGAGGAUGACAGAAUACUCCGAGGGAGAGGAACUGCUCUUUUGUUUGGGAAAACACCUUAAUGGAUCUUUUAAUUAUGCAAAGAGAAGCCCCAGGGCUGCUCCAGGCUAGAAGAUGAGAAAUCAGGAAGCUAAAUUGAACUGCUUAAUACACUAAGGAAAUUUUGGAGCUGUCCCGGGAGGUAACCUUGAAGAAGGGACUCUACCGAGAAAAACAAGCCAGAGACCCAAGAGGGGUGCUUGUGAAAGGAGCAGGCCUCUUUCCCCAACCUCCCACCACUCCCACGACCCCCUACCCCACCCCUGUGCCUUCUGCUUAGGAAUAACUUGAGUGUUCCCAUAGGUUUCCCCAGGGUUCCCCCUAGGAGGCUAGGAGGCUGAGCUGUAAGCAUUAUAACUGCCUCAGUCUAUGUAUUUUUAUUCUAAUUCAUUCAUCUAGCAUUCAGGUGUCCUCCCCACCAUGGGAGCGGCACAGGGAAUGAUAGUGAGUGUGACAACCGGCCACGGAGGAAAUUCAGGACCAGAAAGUUCAUUCUGCUUGGUUUGCAAGCUUACUUCCUCUCCCAUCUCAUCCCCAAAUCAUUAGUAAAAUCUGCAUCCCUUGCUAAUAGCUUGUGACAUCCUGGCUGUCUGUGUGGGGUGUUAUCAAAUUCUAAGACUCCGGUAUACAUGCAAGAAAGAACAGACUUAGUCACAUCUGG